UGUUCUAGAUGUUGUUGAGUAUUUAAAAGUUGUGGUAUAAUUAGUUUAAAAGAAUUACUGCAUUUGAUCUUAGCUAACCCUCCACAAUAAAGGAAAGCCUGAACAGUUUGUAGAAGACUUCAAAAGACAUUGAAACAGGCAGUGGAGGUACAUAUGGGUUAGUAAAAGAUAAUGAUUGAUGCUUUUUAACUCAGCAGUGUGUAAUCCUAUACCACUCAGUGCAAGCAUGCACUGAUUGCAGUGGGAGUCCUCUGGAAUUAAAGCAAAAUCAUUUUUUCAUCAGUUUGGUUUAACUGUUUCAUUAGUUUGCACAAAUUAAUUUUAAUUUUUAAUUUAAAAAUGAAUAUUGUUCUGAAAGUAUCUGCAUGUAUCUCCUGUGUUCUGGUGUACAUCUGAAACUGUAAAUUCUGCUGUCACUUCUCAGUCAACGUCUCUAUCUCUUUCCAUCAUGUUACUAUACGGAUUUGGAAAGAGGCAGAAAAAAGUCCUGUGCAGCGUACAGGUGCAGUAUGAUGUGGUGCUAGCUCAGAUCCUCACCCUUACGGUUGGGAUGCUUCUGUAGUGCCGUGUGCUCUCGUCUGUUGGAUCACUGCUCUGCCUGGAAUGGACAGCAAUGGAAAUCAGUGCACAAAACUACUCUGGAUACACUGUUUCAUACUGCAGUCUGGAGGACCCUGCUUCUUCCUGGCAGCCUACCCACUGGAGGUGGAAUGUACUGUUUGCCCUGCGUCGCACUGUGCUGUGCGUCUCUUGUGGCUGAGACAGCAGCAAUCUGCCAGCAGAGAGCAGUGCAGCCCGUUGUCACUGCUUGAGGGAAGAUAAAUGGAAACAUAUGUCAGGAACAAAGCACAUAAAUAAGGAAUACAGAGAAGCACUAAAUGCACAGUUAGAACUGAACAUAAAGGUGAGGCAGGAAAGAUGCUCUCAAGGAGUAAAAUAGUGAAGAAUGAAGGCAACACUUGGUGAACA
Molecule: long non-coding RNA, 969 nt
Organism: Cygnus olor (mute swan)
Lineage: Eukaryota; Metazoa; Chordata; Aves; Anseriformes; Anatidae
Exons: 2
Source: RefSeq, a predicted model, not a curated record